This 506-nucleotide ribosomal RNA is filed under the name uncultured bacterium. RNAcentral describes it as "partial 16S ribosomal RNA". It matches the Rfam family "Bacterial small subunit ribosomal RNA", at positions 29 to 523 of the family's 1533-position model. The record is from RNAcentral.
AGUGAACGCUGACGGUAGGCCUAACACAUGCAAGUCGAACGGCAGCACAGGAGAGCUUGCUCUCUGGGUGGCGAGUGGCGGACGGGUGAGGAAUACAUCGGAAUCUACUCUGUCGUGGGGGAUAACGUAGGGAAACUUACGCUAAUACCGCAUACGACCUACGGGUGAAAGCAGGGGAUCUUCGGACCUUGCGCGAUUGAAUGAGCCGAUGUCGGAUUAGCUAGUUGGCGGGGUAAAGGCCCACCAAGGCGACGAUCCGUAGCUGGUCUGAGGGGAUGAUCAGCCACACGGGAACUGAGACAAGGUCCAGACUCCUACGGGAGGCAGGAGUGGGGAAUAUUGGACAAUGGGCGCAAGCCUGAUCCAGCCAUACCGCGUGGGUGAAGAAGGCCUUCGGGUUGUAAAGCCCUUUUGUUGGGAAAGAAAUCCAGCUGGUUAAUACCCGGUUGGGAUGACGGUACCCAAAGAAUAAGCACCGGCUAACUUCGUGCCAGCCGCCGCGGUAA